UACGUAGGGUGCGAGCGUUGUCCGGAAUUAUUGGGCGUAAAGGGCUCGUAGGCGGUUUGUCGCGUCGGGAGUGAAAACACUGGGCUUAACCGAGUGCUUGCUUCCGAUACGGGCAGGCUUGAGGCAUUGAGGGGGAGAACGGAAUUCCUGGUGUAGCGGUGAAAUGCGCAGAUAUCAGGAGGAACACCGGUGGCGAAGGCGGUUCUCUGGCAAU
Molecule: ribosomal RNA, 214 nt
Filed under: uncultured bacterium
Lineage: Bacteria
Description: partial 16S ribosomal RNA
Rfam family: Bacterial small subunit ribosomal RNA
Source: RNAcentral